Molecule: ribosomal RNA, 24 nt
Filed under: Trichoderma brevicompactum
Lineage: Eukaryota; Fungi; Ascomycota; Sordariomycetes; Hypocreales; Hypocreaceae
Description: partial 18S ribosomal RNA
Source: RNAcentral
CCCUCGCUGUCCGCGGAGGACAUU